RNAcentral lists this ribosomal RNA (908 nucleotides) under uncultured bacterium. Its description in RNAcentral is "bacterial SSU rRNA". It matches the Rfam family "Bacterial small subunit ribosomal RNA", at positions 505 to 1413 of the family's 1533-position model. The record is from RNAcentral.
GUGUCAGCAGCCGCGCGGUAAUACGUAGGUGGCAAGCGUUAUCCGGAAUUAUUGGGCGUAAAGCGCGCGCAGGUGGUUUCUUAAGUCUGAUGUGAAAGCCCACGGCUCAACCGUGGAGGGUCAUUGGAAACUGGGAGACUUGAGUGCAGAAGAGGAAAGUGGAAUUCCAUGUGUAGCGGUGAAAUGCGUAGAGAUAUGGAGGAACACCAGUGGCGAAGGCGACUUUCUGGUCUGUAACUGACACUGAGGCGCGAAAGCGUGGGGAGUAAACAGGAUUAGAUACCCUGGUAGUCCACGCCGUAAACGAUGAGUGCUAAGUGUUAGAGGGUUUCCGCCCUUUAGUGCUGAAGUUAACGCAUUAAGCACUCCGCCUGGGGAGUACGGCCGCAAGGCUGAAACUCAAAGGAAUUGACGGGGGCCCGCACAAGCGGUGGAGCAUGUGGUUUAAUUCGAAGCAACGCGAAGAACCUUACCAGGUCUUGACAUCCUCUGAAAACCCUAGAGAUAGGGCUUCUCCUUCGGGAGCAGAGUGACAGGUGGUGCAUGGUUGUCGUCAGCUCGUGUCGUGAGAUGUUGGGUUAAGUCCCGCAACGAGCGCAACCCUUGAUCUUAGUUGCCAUCAUUAAGUUGGGCACUCUAAGGUGACUGCCGGUGACAAACCGGAGGAAGGUGGGGAUGACGUCAAAUCAUCAUGCCCCUUAUGACCUGAGCUACACACGUGCUACAAUGGACGGUACAAAGAGCUGCAAGACCGCGAGGUGGAGCUAAUCUCAUAAAACCGUUCUCAGUUCGGAUUGUAGCUGCAACUCGCCUACAUGAAGCUGGAAUCGCUAGUAAUCGCGGAUCAGCAUGCCGCGUGAAUACGUUCCCGGGCCUUGCACACACCGCCCGUCAAUCCAUAUGACUAG